CAGUAGCCGCGGUAAUACAGAGGGUGCGAGCGUUAAUCGGAUUUACUGGGCGUAAAGCGUGCGUAGGCGGCUUCUUAAGUUGGAUGUGAAAUCCCUGAGCUUAACUUAGGAAUUGCAUUCGAUACUGGGAAGCUAGAGUAUGGGAGAGGAUGGUAGAAUUCCAGGUGUAGCGGUGAAAUGCGUAGAGAUCUGGAGGAAUACCGAUGGCGAAGGCAGCCAUCUGGCCUAAUACUGACGCUGAGGUACGAAAGCAUGGGGAGCAAACAGGAUUAGAUACCCGUGUAGUCCCUGUCUCUUAUAA
Molecule: ribosomal RNA, 301 nt
Filed under: uncultured bacterium
Lineage: Bacteria
Description: partial 16S ribosomal RNA
Rfam family: Bacterial small subunit ribosomal RNA
Source: RNAcentral